GAUGAACGCUGGCGGCGUGCCUAACACAUGCAAGUCGAACGGAGUAUUUCGGAUGAAGUUUUCGGAUGGAUUUUGAGAUACUUAGUGGCGGACGGGUGAGUAACGCGUGGGCAACCUGCCCCAUACCGGGGGAUAACAGCCGGAAACGGCUGCUAAAACCGCAUACGAUGCAGAAGUCGCAUGACUACUGCAUGAAAUAUUCAUAGGUAUGGGAUGGGCCCGCGUCUGAUUAGCUAGUUGGUGAGGUAACGGCUCACCAAGGCGACGAUCAGUAGCCGGCUUGAGAGAGUGACCGGCCACAUUGGGACUGAGACACGGCCCAAACUCCUACGGGAGGCAGCAGUGGGGAAUAUUGCACAAUGGGGGAAACCCUGAUGCAGCGACGCCGCGUGAGUGAAGAAGUAUUUCGGUAUGUAAAGCUCUAUCAGCAGGGAAGAGAAAGACGGUACCUGACUAAGAAGCCCCGGCUAACUACGUGCCAGCAGCCGCGGUAA
This 494-nucleotide ribosomal RNA is filed under the name uncultured bacterium. RNAcentral's name for it is "bacterial SSU rRNA". It matches the Rfam family "Bacterial small subunit ribosomal RNA", at positions 28 to 523 of the family's 1533-position model. The record is from RNAcentral.